GGUCGGACACCUCGCAACAGACGGAUGUGAACCCCGUCAGGUCCGGAAGGAAGCAGCGGUAAGCAUUGCGGUCUGUGUCGAGGUUCACUCUGAUUGGA
Molecule: signal recognition particle RNA, 98 nt
Filed under: Desulfacinum infernum
Lineage: Bacteria; Pseudomonadati; Thermodesulfobacteriota; Syntrophobacteria; Syntrophobacterales; Syntrophobacteraceae
Description: signal recognition particle sRNA small type
Rfam family: Bacterial small signal recognition particle RNA
About the family: The signal recognition particle (SRP) is a universally conserved ribonucleoprotein involved in the co-translational targeting of proteins to membranes.
Source: RNAcentral